RNAcentral lists this transfer RNA (69 nucleotides) under Urbifossiella limnaea. Its description in RNAcentral is "Planctomycetes bacterium ETA_A1 tRNA-Met". The record is from RNAcentral. Lineage: Bacteria; Pseudomonadati; Planctomycetota; Planctomycetia; Gemmatales; Gemmataceae.
UGCGGACGGGCGGGCGCCCGGUCGGGUCUCAUAAGCCUGAAGGCCGGGUUCGACUCCCGGGUCCGCAAC